RNAcentral lists this long non-coding RNA (879 nucleotides) under Ictidomys tridecemlineatus (thirteen-lined ground squirrel). RNAcentral's name for it is "lncRNA (ENSSTOG00000032158.1)". Lineage: Eukaryota; Metazoa; Chordata; Mammalia; Rodentia; Sciuridae. The record is from RNAcentral.
GGGAAGACCAUUCGGGUCCUCCCUUUGUGUCCGUGGAGUUAUGGGGUGUUGGAGAUGCUCUCGGAUCCCUCUCUCCAUGAGGAGCAGCCUGCUGUUGGGGAGAACCAUGCUGGGGCAGUCUCUUUGCGGCACUUUGGACAGUUCUGUCUGGCUGUCCUAGCCCUCAGAGAGCCUGUUCCAGUCUUCUAGAGGUGGGGAGCACAGAGCCAAAGGUGCUGAGACGGCCGGGGCUGGGCAGGACGUUAGCACGAUGGACUGGCCAUGUCUGCUCGCAGCACAGCUGGCCUCUGGGCUGGAGGCGUGGAGUCCGAGCCCACCAGUCCCGAGCGGUUCUCCUGGCCUACACACUUCACCGUCUGCCAAGCCUGCCCUGCUGGGGCUCCUUCCCCGGGGAAGUCGCGGCUCUCUGGGCGGCAGUUUUCUCAUCUCUAAGGCGGAAGAUGUGUUAAAUGGUCUUCGCCGCCCCCUCCUUUUUUCCCAUUUAAAAAAAAAAAAAUGUGGUUUAAAAAAAUGACAACAAAAUUUACCAUCUUAACCAUUUUUAAGAGCACAGUCCAGUAGCGUUGGGUUCGUUGUUCACAUUGUUGUGAAACAGAUCUUUACAAAAUGUUUUCAUCUUGCAAAAUGGAAACGCUGUAUCCAUUAAAAACUCCCUGUCUCCCUCCCACUGCCCCGGCCACCACCAUGCUACUUCUCUCCAGCCUCUAUGAGUCACCUAUCAGUGCAGCCGUACAAGCAGUUGUCUUUUUGUGACUGGCUCCCUUCACUUAGCAGUGUCCUCAGUGUUCAUCCAUAUUGCAGCCUGUGACAGGAUGGCCUUCCUUUUUAAAGCUGAAUAAUAGUCCCUUGUGUUGCAAUGCCACAUUCUGUUGAUGUCUU